RNAcentral lists this long non-coding RNA (1454 nucleotides) under Olea europaea subsp. europaea. Lineage: Eukaryota; Viridiplantae; Streptophyta; Magnoliopsida; Lamiales; Oleaceae. The record is from RNAcentral.
CUCCCUAUAAGGCCGCGAAAGCAUUCGAGAAGAUUCCUUUUUCCUCUUAGAAUCUGUAUUAUAUGAUGAUUGAUUGUUUCCUAUACUCGGAGUAAGAUUAGUAAACCAUGUUCUAUGAAUAGGAGUCUUCUCAUUGUAUUUUCUUAACCUCAGUUUUUAGAUAGUAUGGAUAUCUUGGGUAAGGCUUAGGAAUUAUCCUUCGUAAUCUCACAUGAUAUGAAUUUUUCUUGGGUUUGAUUGAUGAUUACACAAAUUUUCUUUUGUGUGAGAUAUCUAUUUCUACUCUAUAUAAUAUACAUAAACAAAAUAAUUUUUAUUCAAUCGUACAAAAAGAUUGUUAUGUGUAAAUAUAAUGAUAAAAUUGUUAGGCAGAUCCAUAGAUUCGAUAAUCAUGAUAAGAGUGACAAAUUCUUUCUCCUUUAUAUGACAUUAAUUUUAUAUGCAGGCAAGUAUCAAAUCAAGAUAAGGCAGGUAACAUUAUCCCAUCAACUUUUUUCUCCAUUAUAAUUACGUAAAAUAAACUUUAUUCUUAAUAAAUUUGAUAAAGAUGACAUAAAUUUGAUAAUUUAUACUCAUUUGUAUUCUAUCAGCUGCUAUAUAUUCUACAAAAUCCUAUGCAUUAGAUCAUAUUAUUUUAAAUCACCAAAUAUAUGUUUAUUUCAGUCUACACUGAAAUCGGCAGAUCCAGUUUGCUUGAAUAUUUUUUCACUUCUAAUUUGAUCGCAUUUUCUCUUUAUUUCUAUGUAUGGUAUCAAUUUAUUUUUCUUUAAAUCUGGACCAUAUAUUCUAAAAAGUAGAUCCUCUUUAGACAGAGUUUCCUUUAGUCAUUUGUUCAGUUAAAAUCGCACUAAACCUGGAUGUGCAUAUGGUUAGGAUCCUGUCAUGUUUUGUUGGCUCGACAAACUUGACUUCUAAUAGAGGAAUUCUAAAAGUAUUUUGUUGAUAUAUUGAAACAGUUUUGAUGAACCUUAACUACCCUCCUGUAUUGUCACAUAAUAGUUCGAUGGUGCUAGAAGCAUGUCAUGUGCCUCGAGAUUGAAUUUUCGAGGAGUAACAAAAAUACGAGCAUGUAAAUAGCACAUUCAGAACCAAGGUGAGGGACAGGUUGCCGACCGUACCACUAUUUUUUAUUUUUUUGGAUUAUAUAGAAGGUUUUCAUAAUCUUUUGAUAUAUACGUGCUAUAUACAUAUUUAUCCCUUCAAUAUUAUUUGCUCCCUUGUGUGAAAAUCCUAGACUCCGACACUAAUGAGAACUUGUGAUUUAUCAUUGAUGCUACCAAAAAAUCGUACAUGAAAGAUCUCGAAUUGAACGAUUGAACUCCGAACUUGGACGAACUUGAAUGAAUAUGAACGAUCUUCGAAUACCUGAAACAAAGGCAAUGAGAUGUGUGCUCUUUGCCCUUUCGAUGCUUAAGUCAUAUAGAGAAUUUAGUGCAUAAAGCUAUGAACUGAAA